RNAcentral lists this ribosomal RNA (81 nucleotides) under Staphylococcus aureus. RNAcentral's name for it is "partial 16S ribosomal RNA". It matches the Rfam family "Bacterial small subunit ribosomal RNA", at positions 1 to 81 of the family's 1533-position model. The record is from RNAcentral. Lineage: Bacteria; Bacillati; Bacillota; Bacilli; Caryophanales; Staphylococcaceae.
UUUAUGGAGAGUUUGAUCCUGGCUCAGGAUGAACGCUGGCGGCGUGCCUAAUACAUGCAAGUCGAGCGAACGGAUGAGAAG